AGAGAUCUUCAGAUGCUGCAUUUUAAAGCUGGGCAACAGUACCUAGUGCAGGGCCUGUCGGACAGUGCAAAGGCAUGGUUUGUAACUAAAAUGUUUCUGUAGGGUACAGUCAUAGGAAGGAAGCGCAUCAUGGCCACAUGUAGAGGGUAAGAGGCUUAUCAGAACUCACUGGGUAAUAGCAUGAACACUCGAUCAGGCCAGCAUCAGCGGGAUUGUUGCACAGGUGAAGCAGAACAGGUGUGGGUUAGCUUACUU
This 255-nucleotide long non-coding RNA is filed under the name Bos taurus (domestic cattle). RNAcentral describes it as "long non-coding RNA NONBTAT012038". The record is from RNAcentral. Lineage: Eukaryota; Metazoa; Chordata; Mammalia; Artiodactyla; Bovidae.